Molecule: transfer RNA, 67 nt
Filed under: Marmota monax (woodchuck)
Lineage: Eukaryota; Metazoa; Chordata; Mammalia; Rodentia; Sciuridae
Description: tRNA.Ala
Source: RNAcentral
GGUUGUAGCUUAGUGGUAGAGGGCUUGCCUAGCACAUGUGAAGCACUGGGUUCGAUUCUCAGCACCA